GGGCGAUUAACUCAGCGGCUAGAGUACCGUCUUCACACGGCGGGAGUCACUGGUUCGAAUCCAGUAUCGCCCA
Molecule: transfer RNA, 73 nt
Filed under: Planctomycetales bacterium 71-10
Lineage: Bacteria; Pseudomonadati; Planctomycetota; Planctomycetia; Planctomycetales
Description: tRNA-Val
Rfam family: tRNA
About the family: Transfer RNA (tRNA) molecules are approximately 80 nucleotides in length.
Source: RNAcentral